AAAAGGGAAGCGCUUGUGACCAGACUUGCGUCCGGUGAAUCACCCAGCUCUCGCGGCUGGGGCACUUCGCCGGCACAGGCCAGCAUCAGCUUGCCGUCGGGGACAAAAGCUUCAGGAACGUGGCUCCUCUCGGGGAGUGUUAUAGCCUGUUGCAUAAUACCCUUCGNCGGGCUGAGGUACGCGCUCCGCAAGGAUGCUGGCNUAAU
Molecule: ribosomal RNA, 206 nt
Filed under: Colletotrichum acutatum
Lineage: Eukaryota; Fungi; Ascomycota; Sordariomycetes; Glomerellales; Glomerellaceae
Description: partial 28S ribosomal RNA
Source: RNAcentral